GAUCUCCUACGGGACGCAGCAGUGGGGAAUAUUGCACAAUGGGGGAAACCCUGAUGCAGCAACGCCGCGUGAAUGAAGACGGUUUUCGGAUUGUAAACUUCUUUUCUUAGUGAAGAAGCAAGUGACGGUAGCUAAGGAAUAAGCAUCGGCUAACUACGUGCCAGCAGCCGCGGUAAUACGUAGGAUGCGAGCGUUAUCCGGAAUUACUGGGUGUAAAGGGUGCGCAGGCGGGACUGCAAGUUGGUUGUGAAAUACCGCAGCUUAACUG
This 268-nucleotide ribosomal RNA is filed under the name uncultured bacterium. RNAcentral's name for it is "partial 16S ribosomal RNA". It matches the Rfam family "Bacterial small subunit ribosomal RNA", at positions 333 to 615 of the family's 1533-position model. The record is from RNAcentral.